Molecule: ribosomal RNA, 253 nt
Filed under: uncultured bacterium
Lineage: Bacteria
Description: partial 16S ribosomal RNA
Rfam family: Bacterial small subunit ribosomal RNA
Source: RNAcentral
UACAGAGGGUGCGAGCGUUGUCCGGAAUCACUGGGCGUAAAGGGCGCGUAGGCGGCAGGCCAAGCGUGCGGUGAAAGUCCGGGGCUCAACCCCGGAUCUGCCGUGCGGACUGGUUUGCUGGAGCACUGUAGAGGCGAGUGGAAUUCCGGGUGUAGCGGUGGAAUGCGUAGAGAUCCGGAAGAACACCGGUGGCGAAGGCGGCUCGCUGGGCAGUGGCUGACGCUGAGGCGCGAAAGUGUGGGGAGCGAACAGG